Molecule: ribosomal RNA, 468 nt
Filed under: uncultured bacterium
Lineage: Bacteria
Description: partial 16S ribosomal RNA
Rfam family: Bacterial small subunit ribosomal RNA
Source: RNAcentral
GACGAACGCUGGCGGCGUGCUUAACACAUGCAAGUCGAACGGAAAGGCCCUGCUUUUGUGGGGUGCUCGAGUGGCGAACGGGUGAGUAACACGUGAGUAACCUGCCCUUGACUUUGGGAUAACUUCAGGAAACUGGGGCUAAUACCGGAUAGGAGCUCCUGCUGCAUGGUGGGGGUUGGAAAUUUUCGGCGGUUGGGGAUGGACUCGCGGCUUAUCAGCUUGUUGGUGGGGUAGUGGCUUACCAAGGCUUUGACGGGUAGCCGGCAGGAGAGGGUGACCGGGCACAUUGGGACUGAGAUACGGCCCAGUGUCCUACAGGAGGCAGCAGUGGGGAAUAUUGUCCAAUCGGAGGACGUCUGAUGAAGCAACGUCGCGUUCGGGAUGACGGCCUUUUGGUUGUAAACCGCUUCCGCCUGUGACGAAGCGUUAGUGACGGUAAUGGGUAAAGAAGCACCGGCUAACUACGUG